AGUGAACGCUGGCGGUAGGCCUAACACAUGCAAGUCGAACGGCAGCACAGGAGAGCUUGCUCUCUGGGUGGCGAGUGGCGGACGGGUGAGGAAUACAUCGGAAUCUACUCUGUCGUGGGGGAUAACGGAGGGAAACUUACGCUAAUACCGCAUACGACCUACGGGUGAAAGCAGGGGACCUUCGGGCCUUGCGCGAUUGAAUGAGCCGAUGUCGGAUUAGCUAGUUGGCGGGGUAAAGGCCCACCAAGGCGACGAUCCGUAGCUGGUCUGAGAGGAUGAUCAGCCACACUGGAACUGAGACACGGUCCAGACUCCUACGGGAGGCAGCAGUGGGGAAUAUUGGACAAUGGGCGCAAGCCUGAUCCAGCCAUACCGCGUGGGUGAAGAAGGCCUUCGGGUUGUAAAGCCCUUUUGUUGGGAAAGAAAUCCAGCUGGCUAAUACCCGGUUGGGAUGACGGUACCCAAAGAAUAAGCACCGGCUAACUUCGUGCCAGCAGCCGCGGUAA
This 506-nucleotide ribosomal RNA is filed under the name uncultured bacterium. RNAcentral's name for it is "partial 16S ribosomal RNA". It matches the Rfam family "Bacterial small subunit ribosomal RNA", at positions 29 to 523 of the family's 1533-position model. The record is from RNAcentral.